Molecule: ribosomal RNA, 374 nt
Filed under: uncultured fungus
Lineage: Eukaryota; Fungi
Description: eukaryotic LSU rRNA
Rfam family: Eukaryotic large subunit ribosomal RNA
Source: RNAcentral
AUAUCAAUAAGCGGAGGAAAAGAAACUAACAAGGAUUCCCCUAGUAACUGCGAGUGAAGCGGGAAGAGCUCAAAUUUAAAAUCUGGCAGUUCCUCUGAGCCUGUCCGAGUUGUAGUCUAGAGAAGUCGUUCUUCCGUGCUGGACCGUGUAUAAGUCUCUUGGAACAUGGAGCGUCAUAGAGGGUGAGAAUCCCGUCUUUGACACGGACUACCAAGUGCUUUUGUGAUGCGCUCUCAAAGAGUCGAGUUGUUUGGGAAUGCAGCUCAAAAUGGGUGGUAAAUUCCAUCUAAAGCUAAAUAUAGGCGAGAGACCGAUAGCGAACAAGUACCGUGAGGGAAAGAUGAAAAGCACUUUGAAAGAGAGUUAAACAGUAC